RNAcentral lists this unclassified non-coding RNA (377 nucleotides) under plant metagenome. RNAcentral describes it as "partial contains 5.8S ribosomal RNA, internal transcribed spacer 2, and large subunit ribosomal RNA". The stretch from base 1 to 104 matches the Rfam family "5.8S ribosomal RNA", at positions 51 to 154 of the family's 154-position model. The record is from RNAcentral.
AAACGCGAUAGUUAAUGUGAAUUGCAGAAUUCAGUGAAUCAUCGAGUCUUUGAACGCACCUUGCGCUCCUUGGUAUUCCUUGGAGCAUGCCUGUUUGAGUAUCAUGAAAUCUUCAAAGUAAAUCUUUUGUUAACUCAAUUGGUUUCUACUUUGGUAUUGGAGGUCUUUGCAGCUUCACACCUGCUCCUCUUUGUUCAUUAGCUGGAUCUCAGUGUUAUGCUUGGUUCCACUCGGCGUGAUAAGUUAUCUAUCGCUGAGGACACUGUAAAAGGUGGCCAAGGUAAAUGCAGAUGAACCGCUUCUAAUAGUCCAUUGACUUGGACAAUACUUUUAUGAUCUGAUCUCAAAUCAGGUAGGACUACCCGCUGAACUUAAGC